ACGGAGAGCACAUGAGAGUGAAGGCAAGAGGGAAGUUUCUGUCAGUCGAUGAAAGAGACGGAAAACAAGAAGAGGAGAGGUAACUGGGGACUCAUUUGGAGCUGUGUCUCUUCAUAAAUCUGUCAGAACAAGACAGAAAGAGCGCACGAAAGACAGAGUGAUGGGAGGAGGGAGACGUUUAGGACAGGGACAGGGAGUAGGGUUCGUCUCCUGAGGUCUUCACCUGCUGGUUUCAAGUUCAGAUCCAAAUGAUUGCUCACUCCUUCGCUCUUCUUUGUGACUCACACUGGUGUGGUAAAACAUCCCAUUGUCAAUUUAUUUACAAUUUUGUGAUAUAAUCUAAGUCUCCUUUUCCACUCCAAACCCCUUUCUUGGCUUGCCUUCUUUUCAGGUGGUUUGUUCUCCACUUCAAAACAACGUGGAGAGAAGGAACGCUGCAUUGAGCCAAAUCGAGGCAGGCUUAUAAACACCAACGUAGGAGGAAAAAAAAGUCUCUCUUGUAUUAACUUUUUAACAUAUGACUGUUGGCUAUGAUAUGAUUUUCUUCCAGAGGAGACAGAGGACAUCAAAAAGGCCUGUAUCGAAGUGGAGACUGUGUGUGGAGUAUAAUACCGUCCAGAUGUGAGGCAUAGCAACUAACAUUUGCAUACCCAUAAACACCUGCACAUGCUUUCAAUGGGAAAAAAAAAAGACAUGAUGAAUAGCUUCGGUCAAAGGCUGCUGUCAGCAAUGAAGAGAUCCCUUUCACAUGCGCAAACCGUGAAGAAAAAGAAGGCGGGAAACUCAGCGGCAUGUGUCUAAGAGGCAUGCAUGGCCUCGAUUUGCAUACACACUAUCAUCUGUCAUUCUAGCACAAUGAAGUAAUAUGUUUCGUC
Molecule: long non-coding RNA, 875 nt
Organism: Syngnathus acus (greater pipefish)
Lineage: Eukaryota; Metazoa; Chordata; Actinopteri; Syngnathiformes; Syngnathidae
Exons: 2
Source: RefSeq, a predicted model, not a curated record